ACAGGUUGAUAUUCCUGUACUACCGAUAACCGUUUGAGAGAAGGGAUGACACAGUAGGAUAAGCUAAGCACACUGUUGGUUAUGUGUGCCCAAGCAUUGAGGCGGUCAAAGUAGGCAAAUCCGCUUUGAUAAUGCUGGGAUGUGAUGGGGAGCGAAAUUUAGUAGCGAAGUAGCUGAUUUCACACUGUCAAGAAAAGUCUCUAUCGAGGUUAAAGGUACCCGUACCGCAAACCGACACAGGUGGGUGAGGAGAGUAUCCUAAGGCCAGCGAGAGAACUGUUGUUAAG
RNAcentral lists this ribosomal RNA (287 nucleotides) under Clostridioides difficile. RNAcentral describes it as "partial 23S ribosomal RNA". It matches the Rfam family "Bacterial large subunit ribosomal RNA", at positions 1422 to 1709 of the family's 2925-position model. The record is from RNAcentral. Lineage: Bacteria; Bacillati; Bacillota; Clostridia; Peptostreptococcales; Peptostreptococcaceae.